This 411-nucleotide ribosomal RNA is filed under the name uncultured bacterium. RNAcentral describes it as "bacterial SSU rRNA". It matches the Rfam family "Bacterial small subunit ribosomal RNA", at positions 355 to 766 of the family's 1533-position model. The record is from RNAcentral.
UGGGGAAUAUUGCGCAAUGGCCGAAAGGCUGACGCAGCGACGCCGCGUGGGGGAUGAAGCAUUUCGGUGUGUAAACCCCUGUUGCCCGGGACGAACAAGCAGAUUUCUCUGCUCUGACGGUACCGGGUGAGGAAGCACCGGCUAACUCCGUGCCAGCAGCCGCGGUAAUACGGAGGGUGCGAGCGUUGUCCGGAAUCACUGGGCGUAAAGGGCGCGUAGGCGGUCUGCUAAGCGUGCGGUGAAAGCCCGGGGCUCAACCCCGGGUCUGCCGUGCGAACUGGUGGAGUAGAGCACUGUGGAGGCAGGUGGAAUUCCGGGUGUAGCGGUGGAAUGCGUAGAGAUCCGGAAGAACACCGGUGGCGGAGGCGGCCUGCUAGGCAGUAGCUGACGCUGAGGCGCGACAGCGUGGGG